Non-coding RNA from Cyanistes caeruleus (blue tit), 655 nucleotides. NCBI's taxonomy places the organism in Eukaryota, Metazoa, Chordata, Aves, Passeriformes, Paridae. The record is from RefSeq and is a predicted model, not a curated record.
AGCUGUGCCGCUGGGGCCCUGACAGGCUCUGUGUUCCCAGGGACGGUCAGGAAGCACCUGAGGGGGCCGCAGGAAGAGCUGCAGGUCCUCAGCGAGGCACUUCAAGCUCUGAGAAGAGAUGACGACCCUUCUCAGAGAAACAAAGUUCUCCAACAGAUAUUAACUGAACAAGCUGCAGAGGUAUGCUCGUCUGCUGGCUUAGGAAUCCAGUCUUCGUGGAAGACGCUAUGGAAGAUGAGACUAUGCUAAGACCAGAAGAGACCAGCUGGAGCUCCAGGCACAGCUGACAACUGGCACAGCUGAGCCUGUGGGAAGCUCACGCGGCUUCAGCCCUCUCCCUGCCUGUAGAUAGCUCUGUCCCUGCAGCCCUCAGAAACUGCCCAUCCCUUCUUUUUCCCUUCACUCUCCCUUUUGACAGCUCCCUCCCUACGCCACUGAAACACUCCCCAUCCAUUCUUUUUCCCUUCAAUCUCCCUCCCUUUUGACAGCUCCCUCCCUGCGGCCCUUAGAUACUGCCCAUCCCUUCUUUUUCCCUCCACUUUCCCUCCCUUUUCACAGCUCCAUCCCCCAGCCCUCAGACCAUCCCCUUUUUUGCUCCUCAUCUCAUCCCUUUGCUUUGCAUCCCAUCAAUAAACAGUUUGGCUUUUUCACUAAA